RNAcentral lists this small RNA (751 nucleotides) under Histoplasma ohiense. Its description in RNAcentral is "hypothetical lncRNA". Lineage: Eukaryota; Fungi; Ascomycota; Eurotiomycetes; Onygenales; Ajellomycetaceae. The record is from RNAcentral.
AGAUGAGUAGCUGACCUACGGGUGUGAAAUAUCUGCCACAAUCCCCGUUAGAAGGAUAUGGAGCUCCAGCUAGCGGCAAUCCCAUCUUGAUUGUGGAAUCUGACUGAACCUUCAAUUGCCAGCUUCUAUAUUUUCAGCGAUAGCAUGAAUGCCGCAGUCCAGCUUCAAAGUUUGUUCAUUAUUUGGAGCAGGAGGGCUUGAUUUGCACGGCCUUAAUACAGAAUAACGAUCUGGAUCGCAUCGAACUACUUGUUCAUGGACAAGCUGUCCAAUACUUAUUUUGUCAGAUUGGAAAGCAAUCAGGCGUCGAACCUCCGGGAAGAACCAUAAAGACUUCUAACGACGAGUCCGGGGAAUAUCGAUUCUGCCCAAAAUGACUCAAUUAAACUCAAGUUCAAAUUUCCCAUCAGUAAAAUAAUAAUUCAGAAAGCUGUUGACCUCAGUGAGGGUGCUUUAGUUUACCCAAGCAAUCCACCCAUUUUAUUCUGAGUAAUAUUGCUGUGAUCACUGGCAAAGUUUGGUGUUUUUAGAGCAUUGAUUUAUUUUGCCCAAGCAGCUUGUGAGAAAUGAUCUAUCAUAUCAAACAUUGUGAGAAAGGAUCUAUCAUAUCAAGCAUUGUGAGAAGUGAUUGAUCAUCUUAUUCUAUCUCAAUUUCGGAAACCGGAUCACUGCUCCGAUGUAUACCAGCACUGCCCCCAUCAUAUGUUCAAGCAUUCUCUUUCUUAUAAAUACUGCCUGGUUAUCAUGUAAU